AUUGAACGCUGGCGGCAUGCCUUACACAUGCAAGUCGAACGGCAGCACGGGUGCUUGCACCUGGUGGCGAGUGGCGAACGGGUGAGUAAUACAUCGGAACGUACCUUAUCGUGGGGGAUAACGCAGCGAAAGCUGUGCUAAUACCGCAUACGCCCUGAGGGGGAAAGCGGGGGAUCGCAAGACCUCGCGCGAUUAGAGCGGCCGAUGCCUGAUUAGCUAGUUGGUGGGGUAAAAGCCCACCAAGGCGACGAUCAGUAGCUGGUCUGCGAGGACGAUCAGCCACACUGGGACUGAGACACGGCCCAGACUCCUACGGGAGGCAGCAGUGGGGAAUUUUGGACAAUGGGGGCAACCCUGAUCCAGCAAUGCCGCGUGAGUGAAGAAGGCCUUCGGGUUGUAAAGCUCUUUUGUCAGGGAAGAAACACCGGCUCUAACACAGUCCGGGAAUGACGGUACCUGAAGAAUAAGAACCGGUUAACUACGUGCCAGCCGCCGCGGUAA
This 501-nucleotide ribosomal RNA is filed under the name uncultured bacterium. Its description in RNAcentral is "partial 16S ribosomal RNA". It matches the Rfam family "Bacterial small subunit ribosomal RNA", at positions 29 to 523 of the family's 1533-position model. The record is from RNAcentral.